GACGAACGCUGGCGGCGUGCUUAACACAUGCAAGUCGAACGAAGAGCGAUGGAAGCUUGCUUCUAUCAAUCUUAGUGGCGAACGGGUGAGUAACGCGUAAUCAACCUGCCCUUCAGAGGGGGACAACAGUUGGAAACGACUGCUAAUACCGCAUACGAUCUAAUCUCGGCAUCGAGGAUAGAUGAAAGGUGGCCUCUAUGUAUAAGCUAUCACUGAAGGAGGGGAUUGCGUCUGAUUAGCUAGUUGGAGGGGUAACGGCCCACCAAGGCGAUGAUCAGUAGCCGGUCUGAGAGGAUGAACGGCCACAUUGGGACUGAGACACGGCCCAGACUCCUACGGGAGGCAGCAGUGGGGAAUCUUCCGAAAUGGACGAAAGUCUGACGGAGCAACGCCGCGUGAGUGAUGACGGCCUUCGGGUUGUAAAGCUCUGUUAAUCGGGACGAAAGGCCUUCUUGCGAAUAGUGAGAAGGAUUGACGGUACCGGAAUAGAAAGCCACGGCUAACUACGUG
RNAcentral lists this ribosomal RNA (510 nucleotides) under uncultured bacterium. Its description in RNAcentral is "partial 16S ribosomal RNA". It matches the Rfam family "Bacterial small subunit ribosomal RNA", at positions 28 to 507 of the family's 1533-position model. The record is from RNAcentral.